This is a long non-coding RNA of Ipomoea triloba (trilobed morning glory), 211 nucleotides long. RefSeq lists it as uncharacterized. The record is from RefSeq and is a predicted model, not a curated record. Lineage: Eukaryota; Viridiplantae; Streptophyta; Magnoliopsida; Solanales; Convolvulaceae. The transcript is spliced from 3 exons.
ACACCAACUAUGGAAAUGUCCUCCUUGUUCAUUCGGAAAAUUGUAAUUAGACGAGACGUUCAAAUAACAAAUAGGAAGAAUGGGAUGCGGAGGAAGAGAGUAAUGUUUUGGUGGAUUAGGCAGUUUACUAACCAUUUUCAUGUAACAAAGUGGGUGAAGAGAUAGAAAAUGUAGCAACUGUAUGUUAUCCAUCAACUACUCAUGCAUCAAG